RNAcentral lists this transfer RNA (64 nucleotides) under Cossypha semirufa (Rueppell's robin-chat). Its description in RNAcentral is "tRNA-Ser". Lineage: Eukaryota; Metazoa; Chordata; Aves; Passeriformes; Muscicapidae. The record is from RNAcentral.
GGGGAGGUCAAACCAACAAGAACUGCUAACUCUUGCAUCUGAGUAUAAAACCUCAGCCCCCUUA